Molecule: long non-coding RNA, 542 nt
Organism: Ictalurus punctatus (channel catfish)
Lineage: Eukaryota; Metazoa; Chordata; Actinopteri; Siluriformes; Ictaluridae
Exons: 5
Source: RefSeq, a predicted model, not a curated record
UUUAAUUAACCGCAACCCUUGAAAAGGGUUACCUGCAUUUUCCUGUAUAUCGGUCCAGUGGACACAACUUGGGUGCAGGAAAACAACUGUAACGCUCCCUACAAUGAUGCAGAGAGUGAACCAGACUCUGAGGAGAACGAGGAGAGCCUUGCUUUUUUGGAGUUGGGGGUUCCCUUUAUUAGCUACCAUCUUUCAGACAGAGGGGUUACAGACAUCGGCCUGAAGCUGCGUGUUCAGGCGUUCUCUACUCUGCUCGCCAGUAUCCACAACCAGAACUUCUCGUUAUUGGUUGGAAAGAAGAUUGUGAUGCGUCUGACAGCAGCUAACAACCAGAGAGCCCAGGACCAAAGGACCAGUGUAAAAUCCCUCAUCCCUCAAUACUCAUCCCUUUAUAGCCUAUCCCUCAGUACUUUAUCCCGAUCCCCAUCACUUUAUUCCUUUCGGUAGCAUAAGGAGCAUAUACAGAUGACAGCUGUAAAUAGAAUUGUUUGUAAAUUGUUAUUACAUAAUGCGUAUAUAGUUUAUUUUAAUAAAGGUUUUCA